Non-coding RNA from Monodelphis domestica (gray short-tailed opossum), 1220 nucleotides. NCBI's taxonomy places the organism in Eukaryota, Metazoa, Chordata, Mammalia, Didelphimorphia, Didelphidae. The record is from RefSeq and is a predicted model, not a curated record.
CUACAGAGGAGGACACUAUUGAGAUAGAAGAGGAGAGCCAAGGAGAGAAGAACCAGAAGGAUGCCUGGAAGAAGACAUGCCGGGUGGCCGACUGCUUCUUUGCUGAGCUGUCCAGUCCCUCAUCGGACUACGUCAAGUACUUUCAUCUGAAGAAGGAGGAGCUGACUGCCAAGAUGUAUCACUUAUAUAAUUCCUCCAUCUUUAGGGAGCAGUUACCUGAGAAAAUCAGCAUAACCUGGAACAAGAAGCUUCAUACAACUGCAGGAUACUGUCAUGUUUCAGGCAAGGAAAGUGGUCCACAGUCAUCACGCUCCAUCAGAAUUGAGCUUUCUGAGAAAGUCUGUGACUCUGCAGGUAAUGGGACAGAUAUGCCUCCACCGAGGCAAUGAGUGGCAUGCCCAGUGUGGGACCCGAACACCCUUCCCAACACUCUGGCUGAUAGCUUCAGCUUCUCCCAGGCACCUGGGCCAGAAACCUCAGAGUUAUUUUUGGACUCUCCCUACUCCCCUGUUUCUCAUCCCAAGCUAGUCACUAAGACCCAGUCCUUCUUCCUUGGUGAUAGUCCUUUUCUGCUCCUGUUGCCACCACCUUAGUGCAGGCCUUCACGAUCUCACACUUGGAUUGUUAGAGUUGCCUCAUACUUUGGCUGCGUCCUGCCUCCAUUCUCUUUUCUUCCAGGCCAUGGCUCUAAGUGAUGGUAUAGAAAAAGCUCUGGGUUUGGAAUCCGAGGAUCCAUGUGACCUCGUCCAAGUGCCUUUUCCUACUCUGAGCCUCUUUUUUCUCCCUUAUCAAAUGAGGGGACUGAAUCAAUGUAUAUCUCAGGACCUUCUCAGCUGUAACUCCUGUGGUUACCUUCCAGUCUGUCACCAGAUUAGCCUUGAAAAAAAGUUCCUAAUGCUCUCUUCUCCUUGGUACUCUCUGCUUUAUGGGUUUUCAUGCCACCUCUCUCUUUCCCUUAGUCUUGUCAGUGGAAUUACUAGCCAGAAGUGAAUUUGAAUUUGGCUAUAACAUUCUUGGGUGUUGUCAGUUGGGGAUUAAGUAUUGGAAGUGAUCUGUGGAUUCUUUCAAUCUCAACUUUUUCCUCUUGUUCUAGAAUAUCGGGGCAGUUUUCUUGGAUAAUUUCCUGUAGUAUGAUGUCCAGGCUUUUUCUUUUGUCAUGGUCUUCCAGUAGACCAAUGAUUCUUAAGUUGUUUCUCCUGGAACAAUUUUCUGAAUCUUAU